This 423-nucleotide ribosomal RNA is filed under the name Scheffersomyces sp. BG090815.8.6.2.2.24. RNAcentral's name for it is "eukaryotic LSU rRNA". It matches the Rfam family "Eukaryotic large subunit ribosomal RNA", at positions 110 to 539 of the family's 3401-position model. The record is from RNAcentral. Lineage: Eukaryota; Fungi; Ascomycota; Pichiomycetes; Serinales; Debaryomycetaceae.
AAAUUUGGAAAUACUGGCGCCUUCGGUGUCCGAGUUGUAAUUUGAAGAAGGUAACUUUGGUUUUGGCUCUUGUCUAUGUUCCUUGGAACAGGACGUCACAGAGGGUGAGAAUCCCGUGCGAUGAGAUGCCCAAUUCCAUGUAAAGUGCUUUCGAAGAGUCGAGUUGUUUGGGAAUGCAGCUCUAAGUGGGUGGUAAAUUCCAUCUAAAGCUAAAUAUUGGCGAGAGACCGAUAGCGAACAAGUACAGUGAUGGAAAGAUGAAAAGAACUUUGAAAAGAGAGUGAAAAAGUACGUGAAAUUGUUGAAAGGGAAGGGUUUGAGAUCAGACUUGGUAUUUUGUAUGUUUUACUCUCGGGUGAGGCCUCUGCAGUUUACUGGGCCAGCAUCAGUUUGGAUGGUAGGAUAAUGACAUUGGAAUGUGGC